Molecule: long non-coding RNA, 2085 nt
Organism: Bactrocera dorsalis (oriental fruit fly)
Lineage: Eukaryota; Metazoa; Arthropoda; Insecta; Diptera; Tephritidae
Exons: 2
Source: RefSeq, a predicted model, not a curated record
GUAGCAGAAGAUAAAUACUUAUAUUGUAAAAAAUGGAAUCUGACGACGAAAGUGAUAUGGAGUGCGAGGUUUUAAUAAAUAUAUUUAUAAAUCGUCGCUCUCGUAUAAUGAGGGAAAGAAAAAAUUUUUUUAUAUAUUAUGAUGACGUUGAUUUUCGGGACAGAUUUCGUCUAACUAAACAGUCUGCUUGGAUGAUACUCGAACUAAUUAGGGACAAAAUCCAGCACAAAACUAAGAAAAAUGGUGCUAUGUCUCCCGGAUUAAUGCUUUUAAUAACAUUGCGUUUCUUUGCAACUGGCUGUAUGCAAAGAACUGGCGGUGACCUACUUAUGUGGCGUUUCAAAAAGUUCUUCCUGUCGCGCAAUAAGAAGAGUGUGCCACAACAUUUCAUUGUUAAGAGAACGCUUUGUAACCAUCCCAUUGGAAUUAGAAAGUCAAAGAGAAAUUCAGAGACAAUUUUAUAAAAUUGCAAAGUUUCAGUACAAUUUAUUUGUUUACAUAAAUCAGCUGUUAUUCUUACUAACAUCCCUGCUUUGUCAUUUUUGGGUUGCCAAUUAUGAAUAAUGGUGAAACGCUGCAAACUUAAGUGCAAAGUUAAAUAAAAAUCAAAAUUAAAAUUAAAUGAAACUUAAUUUUCAAUUAGAAAAUUUCGUGAAACCGGCUGUAAGUAUUUUCAAACUAAAAGGUAAAGUAAAAUGGUAAUGGGGAAAAGAAACAUUAUUAUUAUUUCUAACUGAAAAACUUUAAAUAAUGGUAUUUAUUUAUUUUUAGUAAAAAAAAUACGAGUUCGUAGUUGGGCGUAAUCGGACCACUGCCACGCCCACAAAACGCUAUUAACCGUACCAUAACUAAGCUUUAUAUGAAGAUAUAAAUCUCUAAUUUGGUAUAGGGCAUCGCAGUAGAGACACCUGUAGGCAAAAAAAAGGGGGUGUGGCCCGCCCUCUAAAAAGUUUAAUACAUAUACAUAUCUCCUAAUACAAUAAAGAAAUGAAAAUGGAAGAAAUCGGAAGAUAACACCGCUUCCUCUCCAUAUAACGGUACUGUUGAAAACUAGUAACGGGAUAAAACUUAGCACGAAUAAUGCCUUUUAUGUAUGCUGUCUUAUGACCAAAAAUUGUUCAAAUCCCACAAAAACUAUUCAAUCCCAAGUUACCGAAUAAAAUUUGAUGGAAAACUUGACUAAUAAUAGGAUUUUUGAACAUCCUGCUGACUCUUUAUGAUUUGUUUUUUCGUAUGUGUCAUGUUAAUAGUAUGUGGUAUUGUAAAAAAUAAAUAAAAUCGGGUCGAUACUACCCAAACCCAUAUUCUACGUAUAAUGAUUUCAGUUUUUCUAACAACCUUUAUGGUCUCUCAGUGUAUAAGCUAUAUAUAAGAUAUGUGUAGGGUUUUCAAUAAGAGCCUUUGAAAGUACAUUCGAUGCCAUUAUGUAUGGGACUCGACUACUUUUGCAUGACCACCACGGGCACGUUUGCAGAAGUCCAGACGCUGAACCCAAUUUUCGAAGGGUUUUCAAGCAUAAAUCGGCUACUGGUGAAAUUUUACUUCGAUAUUCGUAUGAAAUUCAUCAAUCGUCGCUGGCUUGUUAGCAUAGACUUUACGUAGCUCCACAGGAAAUAGUCUAACGCCGUCAAAACGCACGACCGAGGCGGGUUUUCGCCGGACUAAUCAGAUGUUAUCCUUGCAAUAGCUAAAUUAAUCAAUAUUAACCAAGUCACAAUUUAGUAUAUAAAUACUUAGAUCCCCUGGGUGGCCGAGCAGCUGAAAAUGAUAUUGCAAUAUGAAAUUCUCUUUACAAAUGCCCAAUCUAUAUUUUUAACAGUGGCAUUAUUUGAAAAUAUUACCAUCCAUACCUGUACAUGUAACAACACCACAAAUUAUUAACAGUUUUUUGCUCGAGUUUUUGUUCAGAAUUUCAUUGGCUUGAAAGAAACAUUUAGAACAGGCUUGACACAUUGUAUAUGGUUUCGUAUCGUCCUACAAUUUGUACUACAUGUCUGUUUAGAAUAUGGAGAGUUUUAAUUUUUAGUUUUAUAUCAAUUACAAAAUAUUGUCUUAGUAUUUUAAAAGUUUUAAUGAUUUUCAUGG